Arabidopsis thaliana (thale cress) is the source of this 490-nucleotide RNA transcript. RefSeq lists it as uncharacterized. The transcript has 2 exons. The record is from RefSeq. Lineage: Eukaryota; Viridiplantae; Streptophyta; Magnoliopsida; Brassicales; Brassicaceae.
AAAAAAUCUAGUAAUCUACCAAUAAAAAUUUCCUUUUAUUUAAUCAAAACAACUUUCCAAAACCUAAAAAGUAAAUCAGAUAGAUUUGGCCUCUCUAUAUAAAUUGAGUUAUCUAAUUAAGUGUUUUGUGUGUUGAACCAAGAUGGAAGAAGCAACGACGACCGGUGAAGAAACGAUGUGGUGUGGUCACUGCUGCGUUAAAACUCCGAUCCGCCGUGAAGGGAACGCUGGUUCUGUCAAGUCGUGUGAUUGGUGUGGAAAAGUGCUAGCAGAUGAAACUGGAACCGCUGAAGAAUAUAAUCAACUCUUUCUUCGAUUUCAAGCUUUGCAAGACUCUCUUACUCUUACCAACAUGAGAAGUAGACGAAUCAAGAAAACUAGACGAAUCAAGAGAACUAGACGAAUAAACUGAUUUUAUUUUGUUCAUGUUUUUUGAACAGAGAUUAGGGUUUCAUCUCUUGGCCGGUUUAGUUUGGUUAGUGAACCCGAG